Molecule: microRNA precursor, 124 nt
Filed under: Dasypus novemcinctus (nine-banded armadillo)
Lineage: Eukaryota; Metazoa; Chordata; Mammalia; Cingulata; Dasypodidae
Description: miRNA (ENSDNOG00000030056.1)
Source: RNAcentral
CAGUGAAAUCUGAAUUUCAGCUAAACAACAAAUACUUUUUUAGUGUAAACAUAUCUUAUGAAAUAUUUGAGACAUUCUUAUACUAAAAAAACAUUUGUUGUUUCUCUGGAGUUCAGAUUUAACU